Molecule: ribosomal RNA, 1343 nt
Filed under: uncultured bacterium
Lineage: Bacteria
Description: 16S ribosomal RNA
Rfam family: Bacterial small subunit ribosomal RNA
Source: RNAcentral
GACGAACGCUGGCGGCGUGCUUAACACAUGCAAGUCGAACGGAAAGGCCCUGCUUUUGUGGGGUGCUCGAGUGGCAAACGGGUGAGUAACACGUGAGUAACCUGCCCUUGACUUUGGGAUAACUUCAGGAAACUGGGGCUAAUACCGGAUAGGAGCUCCUGCUGCAUGGUGGGGGUUGGAAAGUUUCGGCGGUUGGGGAUGGACUCGCGGCUUAUCAGCUUGUUGGUGGGGUAGUGGCUUACCAAGGCUUUGACGGGUAGCCGGCCUGAGAGGGUGACCGGCCACAUUGGGACUGAGAUACGGCCCAGACUCCUACGGGAGGCAGCAGUGGGGAAUAUUGCACAAUGGGCGGAAGCCUGAUGCAGCAACGCCGCGUGCGGGAUGACGGCCUUCGGGUUGUAAACCGCUUUCGCCUGUGACGAAGCGUGAGUGACGGUAAUGGGUAAAGAAGCACCGGCUAACUACGUGCCAGCAGCCGCGGUGAUACGUAGGGUGCGAGCGUUGUCCGGAUUUAUUGGGCGUAAAGGGCUCGUAGGUGGUUGAUCGCGUCGGAAGUGUAAUCUUGGGGCUUAACCCUGAGCGUGCUUUCGAUACGGGUUGACUUGAGGAAGGUAGGGGAGAAUGGAAUUCCUGGUGGAGCGGUGGAAUGCGCAGAUAUCAGGAGGAACACCAGUGGCGAAGGCGGUUCUCUGGGCCUUUCCUGACGCUGAGGAGCGAAAGCGUGGGGAGCGAACAGGCUUAGAUACCCUGGUAGUCCACGCUGUAAACGGUGGGUACUAGGUGUGGGGUCCAUUCCACGGGUUCCGUGCCGUAGCUAACGCUUUAAGUACCCCGCCUGGGGAGUACGGCCGCAAGGCUAAAACUCAAAGGAAUUGACGGGGCCCCGCACAAGCGGCGGAGCAUGCGGAUUAAUUCGAUGCAACGCGUAGAACCUUACCUGGGUUUGACAUGGAUCGGGAGUGCUCAGAGAUGGGUGUGCCUCUUUUGGGGUCGGUUCACAGGUGGUGCAUGGCUGUCGUCAGCUCGUGUCGUGAGAUGUUGGGUUAAGUCCCGCAACGAGCGCAACCCUUGUUCACUGUUGCCAGCACGUUAUGGUGGGGACUCAGUGGAGACCGCCGGGGUCAACUCGGAGGAAGGUGGGGAUGACGUCAAGUCAUCAUGCCCCUUAUGUCCAGGGCUUCACGCAUGCUACAAUGGCUGGUACAGAGAGUGGCGAGCCUGUGAGGGUGAGCGAAUCUCGGAAAGCCGGUCUCAGUUCGGAUUGGGGUCUGCAACUCGACCUCAUGAAGUCGGAGUCGCUAGUAAUCGCAGAUCAGCAACGCUGCGGUGAAUACGUUCCCGGG